Long non-coding RNA from Dermacentor silvarum, 259 nucleotides. RefSeq lists it as uncharacterized. The record is from RefSeq and is a predicted model, not a curated record. The transcript has 3 exons. Lineage: Eukaryota; Metazoa; Arthropoda; Arachnida; Ixodida; Ixodidae.
GGGCAUGUCAGCCUGUCGACCUUUUCUUUAUGGAGGCUGUGGUGGAAACAAGAACAGAUUUGCAUCGUGCGAGCUGUGUAACAGUGCUUGUGAAACUAGCGUCUGUGCGAAGGAGAAGCCUGGGCCUAGUCCAUUUUCCAGGAGCAGGAAACACCACAAAAGGCAUCGAUUUCACCGACGACGUUAUCAAGAUUAUGACAGUGCGGAAUGAGGGAACUUCUCAGUAGCGGCACCAAUAAAAAGGUAUAUAGAGUCACAA